Molecule: long non-coding RNA, 946 nt
Organism: Onychomys torridus (southern grasshopper mouse)
Lineage: Eukaryota; Metazoa; Chordata; Mammalia; Rodentia; Cricetidae
Exons: 2
Source: RefSeq, a predicted model, not a curated record
UCCUCUGCUAGAGCAGCAAGUGCCCUUAAGCAUUGAGCCAUCUCCAGCCUGGUUUGGUGUUUUGAGGUGAGGUCUCACUACGUGACCCAUGCCGGCCUGGAACUUGAAAGAGUCCCUUGUCAACCUCCUGAGUGCUGGGAUGGCAAAUGUACACCAUCGUACCUGCAGCCUGGAUAGUUUCAGUUUUGGUUUUGGUGUUUAAGAACAUGAUUCUUCGUUGGGAGGGGGAAAAAAAGGCUUCAUAUUUUAAAAGCUUUUCCAGAAAAACAACAACAACUUUACUUUUUGCCACAUCUGCAAAAUGGAGCUUCAUCUCUGCCUUCAGCAGCAUGGUUUGUGUGAUGGUUACCAUGUUGAACCAGGAGUUGCUGGAUGUACUUUGUUGCCAAAUGUCGCCCUCUUGUGUUGAGAAAUACUCGACUUUUCACUAUGCUACUUCUGCCCUUCGGCAAGGAAGACAGGACUUAGCAUUAUUGGGGAUAAAGUACACCGGUUUCAGCAUUAAUGAAACUUCCCCAAAUACAUUACUUUCAUAUCAGAAAAGGAACAAAGAAAAUGGGGGGCAGGGAUUCCAUCAUUCCCUGGAUGAAGAUGGUCUAAAUAGUAAAUGAGAAAAGAGAUGGAAUGAGGACAGUCCACAGGACCUCUUCGAUGUUCUUCUGAGGGAACGCUGGAGAAGCGUUCACAGAACACAGUCGCGAAGAGAACCGUGUGGAGAGCAGGCAGUUCUGAAGCCCGUCCGUACAGGCAGACUCUUGAUAGUGAAAUUGGAUUCCUGACGAAUACUUGAUGGGUAUUUUUGUGAUAACUGCUAAAAUUCGGUCAUGUGGAGAACUUUAAUGUAACUUGUGUGUUUUUGUGUACUUAAACUAAAUAUGUCUGUGGCACUUCAUUAUCAUAGGUUGUAAAUUCCUAGGAGUGAACCCUGUAAAUGCUUCUGUGCUGA